Molecule: long non-coding RNA, 1771 nt
Filed under: Homo sapiens (human)
Lineage: Eukaryota; Metazoa; Chordata; Mammalia; Primates; Hominidae
Description: HSALNT0377750
Source: RNAcentral
ACAGCCUCAAAAUUUCAGCAGCUUACCCCAGUGAAAGUUUAUAUCUUCCUCACAUAAAGACAAAAUGAGUAUUUCAGAUCAGAGGGCAGCUGCUCUUCGGAUGAAAUUCAGGGACCCAAUUAGCCGGGCGUGGUAGCGGGCGCCUGUAGUCCCAGCUACUCGGGAGGCUGAGGCAGGAGAAUGGCGUGAACCCGGGAGGCGGAGCUUGCAGUGAGCCGAGAUCGCGCCACUGCACUCCAGCCUGGGUGACAGAGCGAGACUCCGUCUCAAAAAAAAAAAAAAAAAAAAAAGAAAUUCAGGGACCCAGGUUACUUCCUUCUUCUUGUAGGAAAAACUCGGUUCUUGCGACACGACGAGGAAAGAUUAGGCACGGAGACACUUUGAAGGGUGAGAAGUUACGGAAUGUAUUGGGUGAAAAGGAAAAAGAUUCUCAACAAAGUGAGAGGGGCUCCUGAGUGAGAGGGGCUCCUGUUAACAGGCCCCCACGUCACAGACUAACUUGCCGGUUACCGCACAGGAACGGGAGGGGCCGACUCCUCCCCAUGCAAACAGCGGCAGCUUCCCGAGGCCCCACCGCUUCCUCCCAGCGCGUAGGCCAAUGGGAGAUUUCUCCAGGUGUGUAUUUGUUCAUUCGCGCACUGCUAUAAAGAAAUACCUGAGACUGGGUAAUUUAUAAAGAAAAGAAGUUAAUUGACUCAGUUCUGCAGGCAAUACAGGAAGCAAGAUGCUGUCAUCCGCUUGGCUUCAGAAAGGAUCGUUAUUCACUGUUAAAUCACUUCUCAGUUUCUCUGGAUAUAAAGGGCUUGUCAUAUGCAACAAGAGGUGAUGUUCCAGGUCAAAUAGUAAGAGGGAGCUGGAGAUGUGGAAGAAAAGAAGCAAGGGGGACUUUAAGAAGAUAGGGAUCAGGGGUUGCCGCGAGGCCUCUGGGUGGGGCCCUCAUCUUGUACGUGCAUCAGGCCCAAAAACUUAAUUUCACCUCUGACUGUGAUCAACAUAUUGAUGAAGACUGGCUAUGUGGAUGCUGGAAGAUGGGGAAAACUUGUUUCAAGCUGAACAUUAUCCUUGCCAUUAGCUUGCCUAAAGAGGCUGGAUUCAUCUGGGCAGUUUUCACUGCUGCAAGUUAGGCACCUUAUUUCGCAAGGUGCAAGUAGCGUGGAAGAGAAAAGCAAAGUUCAUAGACAGAACUUCCAAGAACAAAGAUCUCUGAAUUGGGAUGAAAUUCUAACUGCCAGAUUUGCUCCCUGUGUCUCUCUUGAUAUGUUUUCUACUUAUUAUGGAGUGACAGUUGUUGUGGAUGGGAGGAUUGAAAAUGGGAAGAACUAAUCAAAGAUAUAAUGUUGUGGAAAGGACUGAUAAGCUACACAAACCUGUGUCAUAUUAUUCUUUUUCUUGGAGCUCAGCAUGAGAGCAGGCAAUAACAGGAGAAUAACUUCAAAAAAAUCUUUAAAACCAGACUCAUUGUCUUCAUUCCUAGGACUUACAGAGACCAAAGCUCCUGAAGUACCAUCAUUCUACCAUGGAUACUGUGAAGUGGUACCACCGUAAAUCUAUGUCCUCUAACGUCAGUGGACUGUCAAGUGAGCCAACAGUCCUCUUCUGCAUGUUUGAUAAACUCUUACUUUCCCCACAGCUAUUUCGAAUUCAUCAAGACCCCUCUCUACCCAUCUUCCCUCUUAUUCCAAUGCCCUAAUGCAUUGUUUUCCUAUCUGUCUGUCACUAAUACCUGACCCAGUAGAGAGUCAUGGAAGUAAUUCAGCUGGUUACAGCCUGC